Molecule: non-coding RNA, 28 nt
Filed under: Rattus norvegicus (Norway rat)
Lineage: Eukaryota; Metazoa; Chordata; Mammalia; Rodentia; Muridae
Source: RNAcentral
UGUCAGAAGGAAUUGGCUUAAGGUCAGC